UUAUAUUGAAAAAUCAAAGCAAGUUAGAGUUUUCUUUGAGAUAAAAUAUUCGUUUUCCUUUUGUGUGGUUGUUUAAAAGUAUGACUUAGACUCCUUCCAUUUGGGAUAUCCUGUCCGUUACAACAUAAACAAUCUUCUGAUAAGAUCAAACAUUCGGGAGUUAACACUUUGGGAAAUUCAUAGUUUGGGUUUUGUACGAACAACACGAUGCGAAAAUAAAGACACGGAAUGUGUU
This 235-nucleotide long non-coding RNA is filed under the name Lathyrus oleraceus (garden pea). Its description in RNAcentral is "Pisum sativum (pea) long non-coding RNA (PSAT_LNC017803)". Lineage: Eukaryota; Viridiplantae; Streptophyta; Magnoliopsida; Fabales; Fabaceae. The record is from RNAcentral.